GGUCCGGCCGGGCCUUUCCCUCUGUGGAACCCCAUGCCCUUCACUGGGUGUGGCGGGGAAACAGGACUUUUACUGUGAAAAAAUUAGAGUGCUCCAGGCAGGCCUAUGCUCGAAUACAUUAGCAUGGAAUAAUAGAAUAGGACGUGUGGUUCUAUUUUGUUGGUUUCUAGGACCGCCGUAAUGAUUAAUAGGGACAGUCGGGGGCAUCAGUAUUCAAUUGUCAGAGGUGAAAUUCUUGGAUUUAUUGAAGACUAACUACUGCGAAAGCAUUUGCCAAGGAUGUUUUCAUUAAUCAGGAACGAAAGUUAGGGGAUCGAAGACGAUCAGAUACCGUCGUAGUCUUAACCAUAAACUAUGCCGACUAGGGAUCGGACGGUGUUAUUUUUUGACCCGUUCGGCACCUUACGAGAAAUCAAAGUGCUUGGGCUCCAGGGGGAGUAUGGUCGCAAGGCUGAAACUUAAAGAAAUUGACGGAAGGGCACCACCAGGGGUGGAGCCUGCGGCUUAAUU
RNAcentral lists this ribosomal RNA (510 nucleotides) under Fusarium fujikuroi. RNAcentral describes it as "SSU rRNA". It matches the Rfam family "Eukaryotic small subunit ribosomal RNA", at positions 680 to 1195 of the family's 1831-position model. Lineage: Eukaryota; Fungi; Ascomycota; Sordariomycetes; Hypocreales; Nectriaceae. RNAcentral also lists the same sequence under 6 other names. The record is from RNAcentral.